CAGAGACCAGCGAGAAGCGACUGUUUCGUAAAAACACAGGUCCGUAGCGAAGCCGUAAGGCGAUGUAUACGGACUGACGCCUGCCCGGUGCUGGAACUUAAGGGACCGGUUAGCUCCAUUUCGUGGGGCGAAGCUGAGAACUUAAGCGCCAGUAAACGGCGGUGGUAACUAUAACCAUCCUAAGGUAGCGAAAUUCCUUGUCGGGUAAGUUCCGACCUGCACGAAUGGCGUAACGACUUCUCGACUGUCUCAACCAUAGGCCCGGUGAAAUUGCACUACGAGUAAAGAUGCUCGUUUCGCGCAGCAGGACGGAAAGACCCCGGGACCUUUACUACAGUUUGAUAUUGGUGUUCGGUUCGGCUUGUGUAGGAUAGCUGGG
RNAcentral lists this non-coding RNA (379 nucleotides) under Streptomyces afghaniensis 772. RNAcentral's name for it is "Bacterial large subunit ribosomal RNA". It matches the Rfam family "Bacterial large subunit ribosomal RNA", at positions 1780 to 2151 of the family's 2925-position model. The record is from Rfam by way of RNAcentral. Lineage: Bacteria; Bacillati; Actinomycetota; Actinomycetes; Kitasatosporales; Streptomycetaceae.